ACCAGACUCCUACGGGAGGCAGCAGUGGGGAAUAUUGCACAAUGGGGGAAACCCUGAUGCAGCGACGCCGCGUGAGUGAGGAAGUAUUUCGGUAUGUAAAGCUCUAUCAGCAGGGAAGAAAAUGACGGUACCUGACUAAGAAGCCCCGGCUAACUACGUGCCAGCAGCCGCGGUAAUACGUAGGGGGCAAGCGUUAUCCGGAUUUACUGGGUGUAAAGGGAGCGUAGGCGGUAAUGCAAGUCAGAAGUGAAAGCCCGGGGCUCAACUCCGGGACUGCUUUUGAAACUGUGUUGCUAGAUUGCAGGAGAGGUAAGUGGAAUUCCUAGUGUAGCGGUGAAAUGCGUAGAUAUUAGGAGGAACACCAGUGGCGAAGGCGGCUUGCUGGACCGUAACUGACGUUGAGGCUCGAAAGCGUGGGGAGCAAACAGGAUUAGAUACCCUCGUA
RNAcentral lists this ribosomal RNA (445 nucleotides) under uncultured bacterium. RNAcentral describes it as "bacterial SSU rRNA". It matches the Rfam family "Bacterial small subunit ribosomal RNA", at positions 330 to 792 of the family's 1533-position model. The record is from RNAcentral.